Long non-coding RNA from Vespa velutina, 3777 nucleotides. RefSeq lists it as uncharacterized. NCBI's taxonomy places the organism in Eukaryota, Metazoa, Arthropoda, Insecta, Hymenoptera, Vespidae. The transcript is spliced from 2 exons. The record is from RefSeq and is a predicted model, not a curated record.
CUUUCUUUCUUUCUUUCUUUCGUUCCUGUUUCUUCAUCUUCUUCUUCUUCUUCUUUUUCUUCUUCUUUUUCUUCUUCUUCUUCUUCUUCUUCUUCAUAUUCUUCUUUUUCUUCUUUUACUACUUUCGAUGCCUGCCAGUCCACUUGUCGAACGUUUCGCAAGAUAUCAAAGAGUACCGAGAGCUCGCGUUUUCAAACAGUUGCGAGCAUCGUCCACGCAAAAUGGCAGCCGAUUAUACUCGCUCGUCGCUUAUAAAGAAGCACCUAUUUUCCCUUUUACAACAAACUGUCAUAAGUAUCGUACAAAAGUUCGACUCGAAGAAAUUGACGCCUCGUUAAAGCGCAACAUGCACGCACGAUGCACGAAUAGAUAUCGAACUUCGUUAUGAAGUUUCUCGAACAUAAAUUCCAUGUUGUCGUCGGGAGUUCAAUCGUGGUGUUGAACGUUUAUACGUCCUGCGCUAACAGCCGCAACUAAUCGGUCAAUCAACGUCUAAUAAUCGAGGUGUACUUAUUGCUGAAGUAAAAGUAAUCGUGCUUUUCUAGAUAGAAAUUAUUUUCUUAUUAUCUAAUGAUUUUAUCCAUCACAUAAACGAUUGAAUUUACAAUAAUAUAGGAAUUGAUGAAAAAGAGGUAAAUGUCGUAAAUUUUGUUUAUUCUUUAGAUGACGUUUAAUAAUUACUUUCUUACCAUCAAGAAUGACUCGUAAAAAAAUAUAUACAUGCAUAUAUUGUAUAUAUAUACAAUUACAUAUAAAAAUAUGUAUAUAUAUACACACACACGCGCACAUUUAGUUAGCAAAGCAGUGAAACCGAAGUAUUGCACUUACAUGAUUACGAAGAAAACGGUGGAAGAGGCAGCGCAAAAAAUAGGAAAUGAUUUUCUGCCACGUCGGAGUCCAGCCGUGCAUCUCUUAUUUAUUGCGAACCAUAAAGAAGCUCUUGCGUGAGUUCACACGAGCACGAACUUUACACGCGUAACGUCCGUUUUAAUUCGUCCACCCUUCCUUCGUGUCUUCAUGGCUUAAUUUUGUACGUCGAAGGCGAGCUCGUGCUCGCUAUCGACAAGCACAACCAUAAUUUCAUAUGUAAAUAAACUCACCGAUUAUCUCGAUGGUAGAUGUACGAGAAUUAAUUAAAAACCAAAAAAAAAAAAAAGGAAAAUGAAUAAAAAAUCGAAGAUGGUCGAUUAUAAAAAAAAAAUAAAUAAAUAAAAAUAAAAAAGAAAAGUAAUAAAGUUCUGAAAUAUUCAAAGAGAAGGACAAAGAUUAACGUCAAAUGAUUUUAGCGCUUAAACUUUUUACGUUGUUCGACGUAAAACGUAAGUGAUCAUUAUGGCAUUGGUAUCUAACGAGUAAAUCAGAGGUAGGUGUAUAAAAAAGAGUAAAAUCACUUCGUGAAACAAGCAAGACUGUGUAACCAACUCGCCGCAAAAGGCCGACUGGUCGAAGUAACGCUCGGAAAGCUGAAACUGACAACAUAAUAAUUUCAACGUUUUCUAUCGUCGCUUCUCACGCGUAUCUCGCGUUUAUUUGCAUACGAUAUUGCAAACGGACGCAUAACAGAGAGACGCGCGUUCAACGAUCAACGCGCAAACACGCGAGAGCCAACGAGUGAAACGGAGUGUUCGAGAAAUUACCAUAGUUAAUCACGCUACUCUGUUCUUUCUUUCUCCCCUAACACUGUAUUCAUUAUAAUGUUUCUUUAUAUAAGUUACACACGACUCUCCUUCUUCUCUUCUUCCAAUUAGCCUUUGCGAUAAACGACGAUGAUUUUCUAGAAGCACGAUCUUACUUUGCCGACUCUACAUAAUAUCUCAAAACUACGUGAAUCAUUUUUCUCGAAUGGUAGACAUGUUAAAAUUCUUUAAAUAAAAUCAAACACAUAUAAUUUUUGCGGAAAGAGCUGAUGACUUUACCAACCAUGCAUUUGCCACGAAAAAAAAAACGAAAAAAUUGUAUAACGGUAGAGAGCUAAAAGAUACAGAGAGAAAGAGAGAGAGAGAGAGAGCCCAUUGUGGUCCCUUUUUCGGUGUAAAGUCGUGCUGUCGUAAAAGUGCAGCCGGUGGAAAACGGACAAGGCGGGAGGAUAGAAGAGGGAGAAAGAGAUAGAAAGAAAAAAGAAAGAUAGAGAGAGUGAGAGAGAAAGAGAGUAGACGAAAAAGAGGGUAAAAAAAUGUUUAAUGUUUGAGGAAGGGGUGUUCUCUAUCGCUCUCUCUCUCUCUCUCUCUCUAUUUUUUAUCUCUCUCUCUUUCUCUAUAUCUAUCUCUAUCUCUCUCUCUUUUUUUCUCUCUCAUUCUCUGUCUCCAUCUUCAUCGAAAACGAAAGCCCAUUCGACAUCCUUCGAUGUCGGUAGGGGUUGCGUCGCGCUCCGUAGAUUCUUUCGAUGGUGCAAUUGUGUGCCUCGUCGAACGCGUGCUUGGUUCGUGCCAUGCGUUUUUCUUCUCUCUCUCUCUCUCUCCCUCUCUCUCUUUCUUUCUCUCCCUCUCUCUCUUUCUUUCUCUCCCUCUCUCUGUUCCCUUCGUAGGUAGCUAAACGCGUGUGCCGAGGAGGAGAGUUUAGAGUUUAGACGGUACGGGACAGACGCAGAUGCUCGACCAACGAACGCCGGCAGCCGGCGUUGAAGCUUGUAGGGGUGACGGAUGGGUAAAAGUAACUCGCAUUAUCAUAAUGGCGAACGACGAGAAGAACGCUCGGAUGCUGCGCGGUACUUUCGAACGUGAUCACCUGCGGACUCGCCUCGUUCCAAACGAUUUUUAUUAUAUUCGUACGUCCAACGAUGUUCGUAUCCCGUAUAAUACAAUGCUGAUAUGUUUCUUCGAGCCGAUACUACCUACCAACGUUUCCAGGCAGAGUUCAAAAGAACGAAUGGGUGGCUCUAUCGAUCCGACUCUCUGACAAGAAAUAAGGAAACCGUCCCUGCGAUAUAUUCCCAUCUUUUGUCUUUCCUUCGUAAACGUUUAGAUCAAAUGGAAUUCACUCAAUCUAGUUUAUGUAUAACUACAUAUAUAAGAGUUAUAUCUUCAUAUAUCUUUUGAAAAAGAAGAUUUGAUAUUGUCCAAUCCGAUUUUUAAAGUCUUUUUAAAAAAUAACUCUAAACAAGUAUUAAUGGUAUAUUCUCCCAUCGUCAAUGACGGACUGUAAGGUUUAAAAAAGAAAUUAUUUUUAUUUCUUCUGUCUCGAAAUAAACAUAUAAAUCAUCCGUAUUAUUUUAAAUCCUAUAUGAUAUUCUAUCAUUCGAAGUGUAAAAUAAACGAAUUCGAAAUGAAAAAUUUUCACUUUUCUAGAAAAUGGGUUCCAUCGUCGAUUGUUUGAGAAAAUGUUAAAUUGUACUGAUAUCAUCCGUGAUCGAAAGCCUUUGGAAUUUACGAAAUAAAAUUCUUGGCCGGAUUUCAAAUCCGGGUCGAUGGAUCCGUAGAAAGCACUCUAUCAUUGUAACAUCCGUAUACACAGAAUUCAGAACACAGAACAAGGAUCACGGAACGCAGAAUUCAGAACACUGACCAUAGAUCACAAAUCACAAUUACAAAUCACUAAAUCAAUGCAUUUCUAAUAUAACCAACUUUAUAAUUUCCUUCUCUCACUUUCUCUUUCCCUCUCUCUCUCUCUCUCUCUCUCUCUCUCUCUCUCUCUCUCUCUUUUUCUCUUUCAAUCGUUUAAAGCAUUGUAGUCUAUUUUGUAGAUAAUAUUUUCGUAAGUUAAGUAAUUUAAAUUUUUCGUCGUAUCAUAAAGAGCAAUUGUACAAAAUUUCAUUUAAAUUGAAUAAAAAUAGUAAAUGUU